RNAcentral lists this long non-coding RNA (228 nucleotides) under Pelobates cultripes (western spadefoot toad). Lineage: Eukaryota; Metazoa; Chordata; Amphibia; Anura; Pelobatidae. The record is from RNAcentral.
GUGGUCACGGGCAGAGCGGAGAGACCGAGAAGGGACAUACCUAUGGAUCUGUGAGGAGAUAUAAGAGGGGCUAGAGUUGUUCAGUGCUUUAUAGGUGUGAGUUAGUGCCUUGAAUUGACUCCUAUAGCACACAGGAAGCCAAUGUAAGGAUUGGCAGAGGGGUGAGGUGUGAGAGAACUGACUAGAGAGGAAAAUCAGUCUAGCAGCAGCGUUCAUUACAGACUGUAG